GGAUUUCUGUCGUGGUCAUCCGGCUCCGCCUGUAUGGGUGUGCGCCUGGUUUGCCCUCGGCUUUCUUCCGGUAGUCUGCCGCGCUUCACUGCGUGUGUGGGGGUUCCGGAACUUUUACUUUGAGAAAAAUAGAGUGUUUCAAGCAGGCUUGUCGCCCUGAAUACUUCAGCAUGGAAUAAUAAGAUAGGACCUUGGUUCUAUUUUGUUGGUUUCUAGGACCAAGGUAAUGGUUAAUAGGGACAGUUGGGGGGCAUUCGUAUUUAACUGUCAGAGGUGAAAUUCUUAGAUUUGUUAAAGACGAACUACUGCGAAAGCAUUUGCCAAGGAUGUUUUCAUUAAUCAAGAACGACAGUAGGGGGUUUGAAGACGAUUAGAUACCGUCGUAAUCUCUACCAUAAACUAUGCCGACUAGAGAUAGGGAAUGCAUUAUCCCAAUCUUCCCUGCACCUCAUGAGAAAUCAAAGUCUCUGGGUUCUGGGGGGAGUAUGGUCGCAAGGCUGAAACUUAAAG
This 510-nucleotide ribosomal RNA is filed under the name Eimeria perminuta. RNAcentral's name for it is "SSU rRNA". It matches the Rfam family "Eukaryotic small subunit ribosomal RNA", at positions 636 to 1149 of the family's 1831-position model. The record is from RNAcentral. RNAcentral also lists the same sequence under 1 other name. Lineage: Eukaryota; Apicomplexa; Conoidasida; Eucoccidiorida; Eimeriidae.